GACCCGUAAUCCGGGUUGCGGACAGUGUCUGGUGGGUAGUUUGACUGGGGCGGUCUCCUCCCAAAGAGUAACGGAGGAGCACGAAGGUUGGCUAAUCCUGGUCGGACAUCAGGAGGUUAGUGCAAUGGCAUAAGCCAGCUUGACUGCGAGCGUGACGGCGCGAGCAGGUGCGAAAGCAGGUCAUAGUGAUCCGGUGGUUCUGAAUGGAAGGGCCAUCGCUCAACGGAUAAAAGGUACUCCGGGGAUAACAGGCUGAUACCGCCCAAGAGUUCAUAUCGACGGCGGUGUUUGGCACCUCGAUGUCGGCUCAUCACAUCCUGGGGCUGAAGUAGGUCCCAAGGGUAUGGCUGUUCGCCAUUUAAAGUGGUACGCGAGCUGGGUUUAGAACGUCGUGAGACAGUUCGGUCCCUAUCUGCCGUGGGCGCUGGAGAAUUGAGGGGGGCUGCUCCUAGUACGAGAGGACCGGAGUGGACGCAUCACUGGUGUUCGGGUUGUCAUGCCAAUGGCACUGCCCGGUAGCUAAAUGCGGAAGAGAUAAGUGCUGAAAGCAUCUAAGCACGAAACUUGCCCCGAGAUGAGUUCUCCCUGAGACUUUAAGUCUCCUGAAGGAACGUUGAAGACGACGACGUUGAUAGGUCGGGUGUGUAAGCGCAGCGAUGCGUUGAGCUAACCGAUACUAAUGAACCGUGAGGCUUAACCUUACAACGCCGAAGGUGUUU
Molecule: ribosomal RNA, 719 nt
Filed under: Enterobacter hormaechei
Lineage: Bacteria; Pseudomonadati; Pseudomonadota; Gammaproteobacteria; Enterobacterales; Enterobacteriaceae
Description: bacterial LSU rRNA
Rfam family: Bacterial large subunit ribosomal RNA
Source: RNAcentral